AGAAAGUACAACAAGAACUGCUAACUCAUUGUAACCGUACUUAAAAAUACGGCUUUCUU
RNAcentral lists this transfer RNA (59 nucleotides) under Eliomys quercinus (garden dormouse). RNAcentral's name for it is "tRNA-Ser". The record is from RNAcentral. Lineage: Eukaryota; Metazoa; Chordata; Mammalia; Rodentia; Gliridae.